This 253-nucleotide ribosomal RNA is filed under the name uncultured bacterium. RNAcentral describes it as "partial 16S ribosomal RNA". It matches the Rfam family "Bacterial small subunit ribosomal RNA", at positions 524 to 776 of the family's 1533-position model. The record is from RNAcentral.
UACGUAGGGGGCAAGCGUUGUCCGGAGUUACUGGGCGUAAAGGGCACGCAGGCGGUCGACUGCGUCGGGGGUGACAGUCCUCGGCUUACCUGAGGAAGGGCUCCCGAAACGGGUCGACUUGAGGGCCAGAGAGGGAGACGGAACUCCGGGUGGAGCGGUGAAAUGCGUAGAGAUCCGGAAGAACACCGAAGGCGUAGGCAGUCUCCUGGCUGGUUCCUGACGCUCAGGUGCGAAAGCGAGGGGAGCAAACAGG